AGCAGGUGCUGGAACUGCUCGACAGCGACGGGCUGGUGGUGUGCGCCCGCGGGCUCGGCGCCGACCGGCUCCUCUACCAUUUCCUGCGGCUUCACUGCCACCCUGCCUGCCUGGUGCUGGUGCUCAACACGCAGCCUGCCGAGGAGGAGUACUUUAUCAAUCAGUUGAAGACAGAAGGAGUCAAACACCUGGCAUCCUCGUGUACAGAGCACACAGGAUCAUUGAGUCUUGCCAG
Molecule: long non-coding RNA, 235 nt
Filed under: Rattus norvegicus (Norway rat)
Lineage: Eukaryota; Metazoa; Chordata; Mammalia; Rodentia; Muridae
Description: long non-coding RNA NONRATT005170
Source: RNAcentral